RNAcentral lists this ribosomal RNA (468 nucleotides) under uncultured bacterium. RNAcentral's name for it is "partial 16S ribosomal RNA". It matches the Rfam family "Bacterial small subunit ribosomal RNA", at positions 28 to 507 of the family's 1533-position model. The record is from RNAcentral.
GACGAACGCUGGCGGCGUGCUUAACACAUGCAAGUCGAACGGAAAGGCCCUGCUUUUGUGGGGUGCUCGAGUGGCGAACGGGUGAGUAACACGUGAGUAACCUGCCCUUGACUUUGGGAUAACUUCAGGAAACUAGGGCUAAUACCGGAUAGGAGCUCCUGCUGCAUGGUGGGGGUUGGAACGUUUCGGCGGUUGGAGAUGGACUCGCGGCUUAUCAGCUUGUUGGUGGGGUAGUGGCAUACCCAGGCUUUGACGGGUAGGCGGCAUGAGAGGGUGACCGGCGACAUGGGGACUGAGAUACGGCCCAGACUCCAACGGGAGGCAGCAGUGGGGAAUAUUGCACAAUGGGCGGAAGCCUGAGGCAGCAACGCCGCGUGCGGGAUGACGGCCUUCGGGUUGUAAACCGCUUUCGCCUGUGACGAAGCGUGAGUGACGGUAAUGGGUAAAGAAGCACCGGCUAACUACGUG